UCCGUAGGUGAACCUGCGGAAGGAUCAUUACUUAAUCUGCGGCAACCGCUGUACUCGUACAGCAGUUGUUGUUUGAUUUCCACCCUUGUCUUUUGCGCACCCCCGUUUCCUCGGCUGCUUCGGCAGCCGCUAGGACACCUUAUAACCUUUUGUACUGUUAUAAUCAGCGUCUGAAAAUAUUAAAUUAUUACAACUUUCAACAACGGAUCUCUUGGUUCUGGCAUCGAUGAAGAACGCAGCGAAAUGCGAUAAGUAGUGUGAAUUGCAGAAUUCAGUGAAUCAUCGAAUCUUUGAACGCACAUUGCGCCCCUUGGUAUUCCAUGGGGCAUGCCUGUUCGAGCGUCAUUUGUACCCUCAAGCUUUGCUUGGUGUUGGGUGUUUGUCCCCCGUGUACCGGGUGGACUCGCCUCAAAACAAUUGGCAGCCAGUGUUUUUGGCGUUGAAGCGCAGCACAAGUCGCGCUUCUGACCCAGUACGCUUGCGUCCAUAAGCCUAUUUCUCACUUUUGACCUCGGAUCAGGUAGGGAUACCCGCUUAACUUAAGCAUAUCAAUAAGCGGAGGA
This 563-nucleotide ribosomal RNA is filed under the name Parastagonospora avenae. Its description in RNAcentral is "eukaryotic LSU rRNA". The stretch from base 192 to 345 matches the Rfam family "5.8S ribosomal RNA". The record is from RNAcentral. Lineage: Eukaryota; Fungi; Ascomycota; Dothideomycetes; Pleosporales; Phaeosphaeriaceae.